CCCUGGGGAAAGGAGGUAGGCGGUGAUCUUAGGCAAAUCCGGGAUCACUUACGCCGAGCACCGAGACGAGUCCUAUGAGGACGAAGUGACUGACACCACGCUUCCAGGAAAAGCCACUAAGCUUCAGCUUAAGAAAAACCGUACCGCAAACCGACACAGGUAGGCAGGGUGAGAAUCCCAAGGCGCUUGAGAGAACUCGGGUGAAGGAACUAGGCAAAAUGGCACCGUAACUUCGGGAGAAGGUGCGCCCUUUGGUGUGGUCACGUGCGUGACUGAGCAUUGAAGGGUCGCAGUAACCUGGCCGCUGCGACUGUUUAUCAAAAACACAGCACUCUGCAAACACGAAAGUGGACGUAUAGGGUGUGACGCCUGCCCGGUGCUGGAAGGUUAAUUGAUGGGGUCAGCCGCAAGGCGAAGCUCUUGAUCGUAGCCCCAGUAAACGGCGGCCGUAACAAUAACGGUCCUAAGGUAGCGAAAUUCCUUGUCGGGUAAGUUCCGACCUGCACGAAUGGCGUAACGACAGCGGCGCUGUCUCCACCCGAGACUCAGUGAAAUUGAAAUCGCUGUGAAGAUGCAGCGUUCCCGCGGCAAGACGGAAAGACCCCGUGAACCUUUACUAUAGCUUUACACUGAACGUUGAGUUCUUCUGUGUAGGAUAGGUGGGAGGCUAUGAAACCAGGACGCUAGUUCUGGUGGAGCCAUCCUUGAAAUACCACCCUGAAGUGCUUGACGUUCUAACCUAGGCCCGUAAUCCGGGUCAGGGACCGUGUAUGGUGGGUAGUUUGACUGGGGCGGUCUCCUCCCAAAGAGUAACGGAGGAGCACGAAGGUACGCUCAGCGCGGUCGGACAUCGCGCACUGUGUGCAAAGGCAUAAGCGUGCUUGACUGCGAGAUCGACGGAUCAAGCAGGUACGAAAGUAGGUCUUAGUGAUCCGGUGGUUCUGUAUGGAAGGGCCAUCGCUCAACGGAUAAAAGGUACUCCGGGGAUAACAGGCUGAUACCGCCCAAGAGUUCAUAUCGACGGCGGUGUUUGGCACCUCGAUGUCGGCUCAUCACAUCCUGGGGCUGUAGCCGGUCCCAAGGGUAUGGCUGUUCGCCAUUUAAAGUGGUACGCGAGCUGGGUUCAGAACGUCGUGAGACAGUUCGGUCCCUAUCUGUCGUGGGCGUUGGAGAUUUGAGGGGGGCUGCUCCUAGUACGAGAGGACCGGAGUGGACGUUCCGCUGGUGUUCGGGUUGUCAUGCCCAUGGCAUUGCCCGGUAGCUACGAACGGAAGUGAUAACCGCUGAAAGCAUCUAAGCGGGAAGCACGCCCCAAGAUGAGAUCUCCCGAGAGCUUGACUCUCCUAAAGGCACCAUCAAGACUAGGUGGUUGAUAGGUCAGGUGUGGAAGCGCAGCAAUGCGUUGAGCUAACUGAUACUAAUGAGCCGUGAGGCUUGACC
Molecule: ribosomal RNA, 1440 nt
Filed under: metagenome
Description: bacterial LSU rRNA
Rfam family: Bacterial large subunit ribosomal RNA
Source: RNAcentral